Molecule: ribosomal RNA, 378 nt
Filed under: uncultured Lysobacterales bacterium
Lineage: Bacteria; Pseudomonadati; Pseudomonadota; Gammaproteobacteria; Lysobacterales
Description: bacterial SSU rRNA
Rfam family: Bacterial small subunit ribosomal RNA
Source: RNAcentral
CGAGGGGGAUAACCCGGGGAAACCCGGACUAAUACCGCACACUACCUUCGGGUGAAAGCGGGGGACCGUAAGGCCUCGCGCGAUUGGAUGACCCGAUGCCGGAUUAUCUUGUUGGCGGGGUAACGGCCCACCAAGGCGACUAUCUGUAGCUGGUCUGAGAGGAUGAUCAGCCACACUGGGACUGAGACACGGCCCAGACUCCUACGGGAGGCAGCAGUGGGGAAUAUUGGACAGUGGGGGCAACCCUGAUCCAGCAAUGCCGCGUGUGUGAAGAAGGCCUUCGGGUUGUAAAGCACUUUUAUCGGGAACGAAACUUUGUCGGCCAAUACCCGGAGAUACUGACGGUACCAGAGGAAUAAGCACCGUCUAACUCCGUGC